GUCAUCGCGAGGUGGGGUCUGAAGGAAGCGUGGAGCAAAGCCAUGACCUGACGACAGAAACUUGAUACCAAGAUCAUCCGAUCGGCAGAGCGAGCAUAUGAUCGCGAAGGCCAUAACCAUCAAGGGUCGAGUGAGUAAAUCAGGCAGGUGUGUGUGAAGGCGGUCGGGC
Non-coding RNA from Rhodnius prolixus, 169 nucleotides. The record is from Rfam. Lineage: Eukaryota; Metazoa; Arthropoda; Insecta; Hemiptera; Reduviidae.